This 261-nucleotide ribosomal RNA is filed under the name uncultured soil bacterium. RNAcentral's name for it is "partial 16S ribosomal RNA". It matches the Rfam family "Bacterial small subunit ribosomal RNA", at positions 26 to 315 of the family's 1533-position model. The record is from RNAcentral.
AGAACGAACGCUGGCGGCAUGCCUAAUACAUGCAAGUCGAACGAACUCUUCGGAGUUAGUGGCGCACGGGUGCGUAACGCGUGGGAACCUGCCCUUGGGUUCGGAAUAACAGUUGGAAACGACUGCUAAUACCGGAUGAUGACGAAAGUCCAAAGAUUUAUCGCCCAGGGAUGAGCCCGCGUAGGAUUAGCUAGUUGGUGAGGUAAAGGCUCACCAAGGCGACGAUCCUUAGCUGGUCUGAGAGGAUGAUCAGCCACACGU